GACGUAGGGCGCGAGCGUUUGUCCGGAUUUAUUGGGCGUAAAGGGCUCGUAGGCGGUUUGUCGCGUCGGGAGUGAAAACCAGGUGCUUAACACCUGGCUUGCUUUCGAUACGGGCAGACUAGAGGUAUGCAGGGGAGAACGGAAUUCCUGGUGUAGCGGUGAAAUGCGCAGAUAUCAGGAGGAACACCGGUGGCGAAGGCGGUUCUCUGGGCAUGACCUGACGCUGAGGAGCGAAAGUGUGGGGAGCGAACAGG
RNAcentral lists this ribosomal RNA (254 nucleotides) under uncultured bacterium. Its description in RNAcentral is "partial 16S ribosomal RNA". It matches the Rfam family "Bacterial small subunit ribosomal RNA", at positions 524 to 776 of the family's 1533-position model. The record is from RNAcentral.